UGAACGAUGAGGAGAAGGAGUAGUAGCAAGCUCUGCUUGGCUUAAGAGAGACGGCAUUUUGGUGCAAGCCGUCCCGGCAUCUUGUGAACUCGCCUUCAUAAUUGCAAAAGGGAACUACCAGUACUUUUUGCCGUUUUCCGCGUUAAGGAAUGUCGAGCGAGCGCAUUUGCGCUAAAGUUGGGUGGUACCGCGGGAGAAGUCUCUCGUCCCAUUA
RNAcentral lists this non-coding RNA (214 nucleotides) under Terribacillus aidingensis. RNAcentral describes it as "T-box sequence". It matches the Rfam family "T-box leader". From Rfam's summary of the family: Uncharged tRNA acts as the effector for transcription antitermination of genes in the T-box leader family. Lineage: Bacteria; Bacillati; Bacillota; Bacilli; Caryophanales; Bacillaceae. The record is from RNAcentral.